This is a long non-coding RNA of Hyalella azteca, 322 nucleotides long. RefSeq lists it as uncharacterized. The transcript has 3 exons. The record is from RefSeq and is a predicted model, not a curated record. Lineage: Eukaryota; Metazoa; Arthropoda; Malacostraca; Amphipoda; Hyalellidae.
UGGAUUUGGGAGAAAAUGUGCCCAGUCAUCGAUCAGAACCGGGCUGUGUCUAUCAGAACUGCGCAGCUCUGCGUUGUCCAGCGAACUCCAACUGCGAAGGAUCUCCUGGCGAUGAAACGUGCGAGUGUAAACUUGGUUGGUCAGGCCACGACUGCUCCACCAAAACUGUGCCCACGAGCUUUUCAGCGAACAGUUUCCUUCAGAUUGCUCUCCUCUUCCAGCUGCCCGAACAAACCUCGUCCAUAACUUUACGGCUGCGCACCCGGCAGAGCAACAGCUUGGUGGUGGCGCUGAGGUCUGUUGGAGGUCUGGAACAUCUGGU